GGUUUGGCCGGUUGGUCCGUUCUUGUAACGAGUACUGGUCGGUCGGGCCUCACCGCCUGGUGAUGCGUAAUGCCCUUUAUUGGGUGUUGCGAGUAGUCAGGACCUUUACCUUGAAAAAUUAGAGUGUUUAAAGCAGGCUUAUGCCGGAAUACAUUAGCAUGGAAUAAUAGAAUAGGACGAUGAUUCUAUUUUGUUGGUUUCUAGGAGCAUCGUA
RNAcentral lists this ribosomal RNA (214 nucleotides) under uncultured Archaeospora. RNAcentral's name for it is "partial 18S ribosomal RNA". The stretch from base 87 to 214 matches the Rfam family "Eukaryotic small subunit ribosomal RNA", at positions 733 to 864 of the family's 1831-position model. Lineage: Eukaryota; Fungi; Glomeromycota; Glomeromycetes; Archaeosporales; Archaeosporaceae. The record is from RNAcentral.